This 335-nucleotide unclassified non-coding RNA is filed under the name soil metagenome. RNAcentral describes it as "partial contains 5.8S ribosomal RNA, internal transcribed spacer 2, and large subunit ribosomal RNA". The stretch from base 1 to 120 matches the Rfam family "5.8S ribosomal RNA", at positions 35 to 154 of the family's 154-position model. The record is from RNAcentral.
GAUGAAGAACGUAGUGAAAUGCGAUAAGUAGUGUGAAUUGCAGAAUUCAGUGAAUCAUCGAAUCUUUGAACGCACAUUGCGCCCUUUGGUAUUCCUUAGGGCAUGCCUGUUCGAGCGUCAUUUAAACCUUCAAGCUCAGCUUGGUGAUGGGCGACUGUCCUCCCCUCGCGGGGGGACUCGCCUCAAAAACAUUGGCGGCCGGUACAUUGGCUUCGAGCGCAGCAGAAACGCGGUCUCGAGCCCGGUGGAUCGGCUCCCAUAAGCCUAUUCUUUUAUUUUGACCUCGGAUCAGGUAGGGAUACCCGCUGAACUUAAGCAUAUCAAUAAGCGGAGGA